GACGAACGCUGGCGGCGUGCCUAAUACAUGCAAGUCGAGCGAAGUUUUUCUGGUGCUUGCACCGGAAAAACUUAGCGGCGAACGGGUGAGUAACACGUAAAGAACCUGCCUCAUAGACUGGGACAACUAUUGGAAACGAUAGCUAAUACCGGAUAAUAGCAUUAACUGCAUGGUUGAUGUUUAAAAGUUGGUUUUGCUAACACUAUGAGAUGGCUUUGCGGUGCAUUAGCUAGUUGGUGGGGUAAAGGCCUACCAAGGCGACGAUGCAUAGCCGACCUGAGAGGGUGAUCGGCCACACUGGGACUGAGACACGGCCCAGACUCCUACGGGAGGCAGCAGUAGGGAAUCUUCCGCAAUGGGCGAAAGCCUGACGGAGCAACGCCGCGUGAGUGAAGAAGGAUCUCGGUUCGUAAAGCUCUGUUGUUAGGGAAGAAUGAUUGUGUAGUAACUAUACACAGUAGAGACGGUACCUAACCAGAAAGCCACGGCUAACUACGUG
Molecule: ribosomal RNA, 499 nt
Filed under: uncultured bacterium
Lineage: Bacteria
Description: partial 16S ribosomal RNA
Rfam family: Bacterial small subunit ribosomal RNA
Source: RNAcentral